This 369-nucleotide long non-coding RNA is filed under the name Numida meleagris (helmeted guineafowl). RNAcentral describes it as "lncRNA (ENSNMEG00000003644.1)". Lineage: Eukaryota; Metazoa; Chordata; Aves; Galliformes; Numididae. The record is from RNAcentral.
GGGAGCAGUUGUGCAGCCCCAGUGCAGCCACAUCAUGGGGCCAUCGCUGUCCUGUAAUCAGCAUCCAUGGCCAAGGUCCCACGCGAGGCAGAGAGAAAAGCUUCUCUGCCCGGGGUGACAUAUGGAAUGGGACCUUGAAUGGAAGUUGCUCUUUGUCAAGGCAGCCAGUGCCUGGCAGUGCGGAUCUGCAUGAACGCAGCCUCCAAACAAGAGAUAUCCAGGAGAACUCUGUUGCCACCCCAGUAAAUAACAAGCCAGCUUUUUAUCAUUUUAAGUGUCUUGUUUCUCAUCUGGAGGUAUGCAAAAUUCAAAAAGGGCAAUAAAGAUCAAGCUCUUCACUUUUCCUUACAUGGGCUUUGCCAUGUGAAU